UUUAGGGAGACCUACCCUUGAUAACUCCGAACCAAUUUGAAUUAGGAGUAUCGAGCGGUCACUCUAGGUCGUUCAGGACUUUGAGUAGAGUUUCUAGACUAUGGUUGAGGUUUAUUUCUUGACUUUAGGUAACUGCUAGCAAUAGUUAUUUAGGGAACAAGGAACUAAACACGGGCUAUUAGCUCAGGUGGUUAGAGCGCACCCCUGAUAAGGGUGAGGUCCCUGGUUCGAGUCCAGGAUGGCCCACUGCGUGGGGGUUUAGCUCAGCUGGUAGAGCGCCUGCUUUGCAAGCAGGAUGUCAGCGGUUCGAGUCCGCUAACCUCCACCACGAAAGCAUAGAUUGAAUUCAGCACAGUGUGUUUUGGUUUGAGCCAAGGCAUAGUCUGCUGGGUGAGAGCCUAGCUGAGAACCUUGAAAACUGAAUAUGAGAGAAGUGUAAGGUAGUACACACAGAACAUUCAAAGUUCGUUGAGAGAAGAGUGAACUUGAUUAGUUACGACUAAUUGAGUGAA
Molecule: transfer RNA, 512 nt
Filed under: Nodosilinea chupicuarensis
Lineage: Bacteria; Bacillati; Cyanobacteriota; Cyanophyceae; Nodosilineales; Nodosilineaceae
Description: partial 16S-23S ribosomal RNA intergenic spacer
Rfam family: tRNA (bases 253-325)
Source: RNAcentral